UUGAGGAAUAUUGGUCAAUGGGCGGAAGCCUGAACCAGCCAAGUAGCGUGCAGGAUGACGGCCCUAUGGGUUGUAAACUGCUUUUGAAGGGGAGUAAAGUGAGUGACUUGUCAUUCAUUGCAAGUACCCUUGGAAUAAGGACCGGCUAAUUCCGUGCCAGCAGCCGCGGUAAUACGGAAGGUCCGGGCGUUAUCCGGAUUUAUUGGGUUUAAAGGGAGCGUAGGCUGUCCGGCAAGCGUGCUGUGAAAUACAGUGGCCCAACCACUGGACUGCAGCGCGAACUGUCGGGCUUGAGGGCGCACGACACAGGCGGAAUUUGUGGUGUAGCGGUGAAAUGCUUAGAUAUCACGAAGAACCCCGAUUGCGAAGGCAGCUUGCGGGAGCGCGACUGACGCUGAAGCUCGAAAGUGCGGGUAUCAAACAGGAUUAGAAACCCUGGUAGUCC
RNAcentral lists this ribosomal RNA (445 nucleotides) under uncultured bacterium. RNAcentral describes it as "partial 16S ribosomal RNA". It matches the Rfam family "Bacterial small subunit ribosomal RNA", at positions 354 to 796 of the family's 1533-position model. The record is from RNAcentral.